CCAAAAUCCGCGGUCCAUUAAUCCUGAGAUGUGAUGCCGAGCCGAUUGUGGCGAAGUGGGUGAUCCUAUGCUGCCGAGAAAAGCCUCUAGUGAGUGUCGUGGCGGCCCGUACCCCAAACCGACUCAGGUGGUCAGGUAGAGAAUACCAAGGCGAUCGGGUGAACUGUGGUUAAGGAACUCGGCAAAUUGCCCCCGUAACUUCGGGAGAAGGGGGGCCUCCGCUGGUGAUCAGACUUGCUUUGUGAGCUGGUGGGGGUCGCAGAGGCCAGGGGGAAGCGACUGUUUACUAAAAACACAGGUCCGUGCGAAGUCGUAAGACGAUGUAUACGGACUGACGCCUGCCCGGUGCUGGAACGUUAAGGGGACCGGUUAGCGCACUUCGGUGUGCGAGGCUGAGAACUUAAACGCCAGUAAACGGCGGUGGUAACUAUAACCAUCCUAAGGUAGCGAAAUUCCUUGUCGGGUAAGUUCCGACCUGCACGAAUGGCGUAACGACUUCCCCGCUGUCUCAACCGCAGACCCGGCGAAAUUGCACUACGAGUAAAGAUGCUCGUUACGCGCAGCAGGACGGAAAGACCCCGGGACCUUCACUACAGCUUGACAUUGGCGUUUGGAACGUCUUGUGUAGGAUAGGUGGGAGACUGUGAAGCUGUCACGCUAGUGGCGGUGGAGUCAUUGGUGAAAUACCACUCUGGUCGUUUUGAACGUCUAACUUCGGUCCGUGAUCCGGAUCAGGGACAGUGUCUGGUGGGUAGUUUAACUGGGGCGGUUGCCUCCUAAAGAGUAACGGAGGCGCCCAAAGGUUCCCUCAGCCUGGUUGGUAAUCAGGUGUCGAGUGUAAGUGCACAAGGGAGCUUGACUGUGAGACCGACGGGUCGAGCAGGAGCGAAAGCUGGGACUAGUGAUCCGGCGGUGGCAUGUGGAAGCGCCGUCGCUCAACGGCUAAAAGGUACCCCGGGGAUAACAGGCUGAUCUUCCCCAAGAGUCCAUAUCGACGGGAUAGUUUGGCACCUCGAUGUCGGCUCGUCGCAUCCUGGGGCUGGAGUAGGUCCCAAGGGUUGGGCUGUUCGCCCAUUAAAGCGGUACGCGAGCUGGGUUUAGAACGUCGCGAGACAGUUCGGUCCCUAUCCGCUGCGCGCGCAGGAGACUUGAAAGGAGCUGUCCCUAGUACGAGAGGACCGGGACGGACGAACCUCUGGUGUGCCAGUUGUUCCGCCAGGAGCAUGGCUGGUUGGCUACGUUCGGAAGGGAUAACCGCUGAAAGCAUCUAAGCGGGAAGCUCGCCUUGAGAUGAGGUCUCCCACCACGAAAGUGGGUAAGGCCCCCGGGAGACGACCGGGUUGAUAGGCCGGAGGUGGAAGCAUGGUAACGUGUGGAGCUGACCGGUACUAAUAGGCCGAGGACUUGACCAC
Molecule: ribosomal RNA, 1412 nt
Filed under: metagenome
Description: bacterial LSU rRNA
Rfam family: Bacterial large subunit ribosomal RNA
Source: RNAcentral